This 468-nucleotide ribosomal RNA is filed under the name uncultured bacterium. RNAcentral's name for it is "partial 16S ribosomal RNA". It matches the Rfam family "Bacterial small subunit ribosomal RNA", at positions 28 to 507 of the family's 1533-position model. The record is from RNAcentral.
GACGAACGCUGGCGGCGUGCUUAACACAUGCAAGUCGAACGGAAAGGCCCUGCUUUUGUGGGGUGCUCGAGUGGCGAACGGGUGAGUAACACGUGAGUAACCUGCCCUUGACUUUGGGAUAACUUCAGGAAACUGGGGCUAAUACCGGAUAGGAGCUCCUGCUGCAUGGUGGGGGUUGGAAAGUUUCGGCGGUUGGGGAUGGACUCGCGGGUUAUCAGCUUGUUGGUGGGGUAGUGGUUUACCAAGGCUUUGACGGGUAGCCGGCCUGAGAGGGUGACCGGCCACAUUGGGACUGAGAGACGGCCCAGACUGCUACGGGAGGCAGCAGUGGGGAAUAUUGCACAAUGGGCGGAAGCCUGAUGCAGCAACGCCGCGUGCGGGAUGACGGCCUUCGGGUUGUAAACCGCUGUCGCCUGUGACGAAGCGUGAGUGACGGUAAUGGGUAAAGAAGCACCGGCUAACUACGUG